This is a long non-coding RNA of Lacerta agilis (Sand lizard), 146 nucleotides long. RefSeq lists it as uncharacterized. The record is from RefSeq and is a predicted model, not a curated record. NCBI's taxonomy places the organism in Eukaryota, Metazoa, Chordata, Lepidosauria, Squamata, Lacertidae. The transcript has 2 exons.
CUGCUGCCGGGCUGACUCAGGGAUCUGGAAGCAGGAGUGAGGCUCUCUCCAUCAAGCUGAAUAGACAGUGCCUAUUCCACACUCUGCUGCCUGUCUUUGCGUCCAACGCUAUAUUUAGAAGGAGGAGGGAGAAAGAAAGAAAGAAA